This is a long non-coding RNA of Alligator mississippiensis (American alligator), 4952 nucleotides long. RefSeq lists it as uncharacterized. Lineage: Eukaryota; Metazoa; Chordata; Crocodylia; Alligatoridae. The transcript has 3 exons. The record is from RefSeq and is a predicted model, not a curated record.
ACUAAUACGUGACUUCCUAGUGACUUGGAGCAAGCAGCUGGGCUGCCAGACCCCAGUUCUAGCUCCAGCCUGGCAAUGGAGUCAUUUGUAUUUCAUAGGAACAUGGAACUCCAAGGGAGCUCCCAGACUAUUAAGUCUCCUCCUCUGAAUUUACAGGCAACCAAACAGCCCUAAAGACCAUCCUGUCUCUUACACUAUACCCAAUGAAAUCUUAUGAGAACUACCAAAAUCACCCCAAAGGUAAAAAGCAGGGAAUCAGGGCUGGUGCCCAACACUGCAAUGGCAAAGAAGUUAUUAAGUUUAUAUAUUCCUUCCUGAAUUCACAUCUCGCAAUGGAUCGGACCUGGAGCAUGUCACUGGGUGACUAUGGGCAGUGCCACACCACUCAGGGCUGUUGCAUAGACACUGCAAGAUCCUGGGAUAGAAGAUGCUGUAGAAAUGCAUAGUGUUAUUACUAUUUGGACACGUUAUGGCUAGGUCUUAAGCCAGACGCACAAAAUCAUGGGAUUUUUUUAAAAAAGGAAGCUAUUUGACUUCAUUUGUAUUUAGCUUGUGGCUUGAGCCUCCAGGUUACAACUAGGAAGCUCCAGCCUUCAUGGUUGUGGAGAAAACUUGAAGACCUUUCUUUCAUGGAAGCUGAGGAUCUCGCAUGAUUGCACAACACCAGGGGAUGGGGCUUUCAGGAAAAAUGGACCAGUGAAGGAGAAAAGCUGUUGUCUCUGCUUGGGACUGGAUUUGGACCUGCUUGGUCUCAAUUCACCUGGGAUCCAAAUACACAGCAGACUCCUGAGAUGGACCAGAGCUUCUCACUAAUGCACAGAUCUCCAUUACUGCACUGCGCUUGCCUGGGGGGCCCUGAGCCACGAGCAAGAAGGAAUGGUCUCCAGGGGGAAUGGCUAUACACGCUUAUGGUAUAGACAGCUCCGUGUGUCAAGGCCUGGACAAAGCUGAGCUAACUAGUCCUCAACUUUCUUGUGUGGUAAGUAGUGUGGUCCCGUGCUAGAAUGGGAAACUGAGGCACAAAAGAGAAGAAACCUGCCUCAGGCUACACAGCUCAGAACUGGGGCUAAGACUCAAGUCUGCCUGACUCUUAGCCCCAAGCUUGAUCCUCCAGGUCCUGCCAUGUCCUCAGCACUGCACAGGAUCAGACACCAGGAGCCUGGGACCAUGAAGAAGCAGAGAAAGAGUAUCGGCAAGUGGUACCAGGUCCCUGCUCUGAUCUCAUCAAAUCCAGUGACAAAACUGGCUACGCUGGGAGCCGGACGUCUUAUCUAGGCCUUGUCUCUGAGAGUUUACCCGGGGCCAGAUGCUGGGUCAGUGACACUCAGAUAGACCUAGCAAGCUGAGGCUCACUCCAUCAUUGCAAGUAGUGGCUUUCCUUGUCCAGCCUGGGUGAAAUCCAAGUGUGUCCCCCACACAUGCCGGGCUGGAGGGCACCUUCUUGCAUUUUGAUCCCCUCCAGUACAUGCCUGCUGCAGCAGUUACUCUCCCAUUGGAGCAAUUCCUGUUACAUAGGACAGCUCCAUUGAUCCUCAUGCCAGAAAACAGGCAUAUCAGCCUGUUUGCUCCUGAGACACGUUUUCUUUUAUCCUCCCAUCUACCAGGUCCAUAAAGCAGAUCCCAAAGGCAAACCUUGGAGGCAAAGCUCUCUGUGGGGAGGACUGUUUAACUACAGUUAUCCCUGGUGCUUCAUUGCCUGGGGGAAGAUGAAUUCACUUGCAGGAACUGCUUCUGCCCUCGAGCUUCCCACAUCUGGCCAGCCUUCCCCCAGUAUCUCAGGAGGAUGCACCAGGGAUCAAGAGGCAUGACCAGGGUCACUGAAGUGAGGCAGCGACUCAGACAAUGUUGGGACCCACAAAAGGUGGCCCCUUUCCUAACCCAAGUUCCUCUUUAAAGUGGCAAAGCACGUGGUCAUCUUGCCCCAGACUGUCAUUAACCUGUUUAGUGUUAACUUGUAUUAAAAACUACUGGGGGGGAGAGAGUUUCCAGCUGCCUUGUUUGACACAAAAUGUCAUAGCCAGAGAUUUGGUGGGGAAAUGGGUUCCUUCUGCUCUUCUCUCCUUCACCGAGUGUUAGCUGACCUUGAAAUGCUGCUGCAUGCAAGCCCAUGACCCAUCCCUGGCAUCUCUAAGAUCAGUCUCUAGGCUUCCCUACAUGCAUCAGCCACCAAUACUCCCUUUAAUGGGGUCCGUCCAGCUGAGAACAGCUCUCUCUCAAGGUGCCACCUUCUUGAGCUCAUAUAAGGCUGGCCCUGUGUUGCAUUUAACCCUUAGCCUCUGUGAUCAGAACAGCACCUUCCUGAGCCCUAAGCAGUUAGACUGGACCAUGCUCCUUUGCUGGAGCUCUUCCAGCCUCUGGCAAUCUCCUGAGGUGGGCAUAGUGCCGGCUGUCUGCACCUACGAGCUGCAACUGGAGUGCACUUCCUGCCCCCUCCCUGAUAAGGUUUGUUUCAUUCACAAUUGUGCAUUGAAUGCAGUCCAGGCAGAAGGGUCCACAUUGGGCCUCUUGGGUUUAGAGGAAAUGCUGCUUGACAUCCUCAUCAAUCUCUUGGUGGAGGCAGGAGAGCUGGUGACAUCCAGUGCUGUUCCGCCCUCCAGGUCAGAGCCCUGUUAAGAGGAGAGGGCCUUGGUUUUCUUUCCAGAUGUCAUCCCAGAUGCAAAGGGUCAGAUUUUCAAGAGAGCUCAGAUCCAAGAUAAGCAGACAGAUCUCCAAGGGUGCCCCUGGGCACUCUGGAAAACAUAGACCUAAAUAGGCAAUGGGUGGUAAACUCUCAUGCCAACUGCCUGGGACUGCAGAAAGAAAUAUGAGCAGAUUACUUUAGGACUUCUUCUUUGUUUAGUUUCUUGAAUCUUCUGCUGAAGCAUCUGACACUGUCAGUCCUCAAGGACAGCCUCCUGGACCAGACAGACCUCUGGUCUGAUCCAGAAUGGCCGGCCCUACAUUGCUCCAGCUGUUGUUUAUAUCACAAUAGCUUCCCGAUUCACCUAGGAAGGCUGAUUGCCCUAAGAGCAACCUGUGCUCUGAAAAUCUUACAGUCUGAAAACAACCAACCUGCAAGAAGUGAGAGGAGAGCUGUUGAAAUAUGGUGUCACGGGGCAGCUGGCCCCUUGAUGCAAACCAUGUCUAGCUCCCCUGUAACAUGAAAUUGUACCCCAGCUGGUCUAGAUUAGGAGGGUGGGUGGCACCUGGGGGUAAGAGAGGGAGGGAGCAGGGGGAUUUAGACUUUUGCAGGAGUUUCUGGAAGAGGAAGGGGACUGGGAUUUGUUAAGAACUGGUGGGUUCCUCAGCAAAUAACAAGGAACUGGUGUCAGUGGUGGCUGGAGCUGAAAAGACUACCAGAAGAGAUGGCUUGGUUGCUUCCCUCGGCUGAGGAGCUGGAGGGACGGGUAAGGAGCUUGCUGGUGGCUUCUCCUAACAGAGAGUGCCAGAGUUGUGGAGCCAGAGAAAGCCACAGAGAGGGCUGUCUGCUGAGCAGCUCAGGAUGGGAAGGUAAGUUCUAGGGGGAAAGCAUGGGCAGUUGCUGCUGGGAAGAGCAGGGCUGGCUGAUGAGGAUUGAGAGGGAGCUCUGGGAGUGGCAGGAGAUGCUGGAACUGGGGUGUUGGUGUCCUGGUGGAUAUGUCCCCAAGGGGUGCUGGGUGGUGAGGGGUAAAAUCAAGCUUCUCUCUUACAUACAUUUGCAAUUUGUGGGUGGGAGAAGGUGAGGAGAAAAGGCACAAGAGGGAAGGUGACAGCCAAAAAAAAAUAAAUAAAUAAGGGCUCUAUAAGGAUGGGGAAAAAAGGCAAGAUGUGAGAGAAGUGCAGAUUGGGGCAGGGGGGCAUGAUGAAUAAAAAAGAGGAGGGAAGACAAGACAAUGUUAUUUUAUGUCCUAGGCAUAAGGCAAGCAACCAGGCUGGCUUAAGAGACUCUGAUUUUCACAGUGAUUUUUGCCCAGACCUUAGCUCCUAAGCUACAAGUAGCUCCUGAGCUGUUCAUGGUAGAACAUUUCUCCUAAGUGUUUUAUUUUUUCUUUCUUAGCUGCCUGCCUUGAAUCUGUCUCUCCUGCAAUGAGGAAUACAGAGCGAGUGCUGCCGCUCCCUAUCGGCUGUGGUACAACUGUUAAUUACUCCAGCCUGAUUUGUCUUUAUGCACUGGAGUAGAUCUGGCACAACUUGGCAAAGGAUGCAUCCGCUGUGGUGGCUGUGGUUUGUGCAUCCCUGGGCUGGGACAAAGGGAAGUUGAUCUACAUUUCCUGACCGCAGCUAGAUCAUCUUACUUCCAGUUUCCAUUAUGCUAUCCACUGGCAAGUGCUUCUAGCAAGCGACUUUCAGGACAUGGUAGUAUAAAUUACAGAGGAAAAUGGUGGAAGCAUGUGUGAUGGAUCUCUCUAGUGGCUAGUUCAAGUAGAAGAGAACUGUAUACUACUGCUGCUCUCAUGGUGAGACUCCUACAGCUCACGUGGUGGAGGUUUGCGUGCUGGUGUUCAAGUAGCACCUUGAUGAGGAUGAUGGGGAGAGGUUAUUGCUCAGGCCCACAGAGGAUGGGUUAGGAAUUGCUCAGAACUUUCCCCUGGCUUGGUAAGUAGAUGGCAGGGAAGGAAAAGCUUCCUUCCUCUUCCCUAGACCUGUGGUAUCCCCUGUAAAAUGGUUAUUAAAUUUGUGGUGGAAGAUGAGUCAAAGCACCAUCCCAAGCUCAGAUGGCCCAUGGUCAGUCGUACACCAUGGAACGAGGCACCAGGCUGCCUUGGAUUGCCCUGCCUGUAGGACAUGCACAAGGUCAUUCCAGCAUGGAAAUCAAUGGGAGAAAAGAACUGAAUGAGAUGGCAGCAAGCUUUGUUAGCAGGUUCAUAGAUGUGUGUGAAUUUUUUAUUUUUUUUUCUUUACCUGCUUGCUUCAUGCUGGAGGUACAAAUGACCCAAAGUAAUUGGGUACUAUAGGGCUAGGAACAGAAGUUGCGUUUAAACCAGUUUAAGUAA